This 442-nucleotide ribosomal RNA is filed under the name uncultured Actinomycetes bacterium. RNAcentral describes it as "bacterial SSU rRNA". It matches the Rfam family "Bacterial small subunit ribosomal RNA", at positions 338 to 795 of the family's 1533-position model. The record is from RNAcentral. Lineage: Bacteria; Bacillati; Actinomycetota; Actinomycetes.
CCUACGGGUGGCAGCAGUGGGGAAUCUUGCGCAAUGGGCGAAAGCCUGACGCAGCAACGCCGCGUGGGGGACGAAUGCUUUCUGAGUUGUAAACCCCUUUCAGCAGGAACGAUGAUGACGGUACCUGCAGAAGAAGCACCGGCCAACUACGUGCCAGCAGCCGCGGUGAUACGUAGGGUGCAAGCGUUGUCCGGAUUUAUUGGGCGUAAAGAGCUCGUAGGCGGUUCGAUAAGUCGGGUGUGAAACCCCCAGGCUCAACCUGGGGUCGCCACUCGAUACUGUCGUGACUUGAGUCUGGUAGGGGAUCACGGAAUUCCUGGUGUAGCGGUGGAAUGCGCAGAUAUCAGGAGGAACACCAGUAGCGAAGGCGGUGAUCUGGGCCAGUACUGACGCUGAGGAGCGAAAGCGUGGGGAGCGAACAGGAUUAGAUACCCGUGUAGUC